RNAcentral lists this ribosomal RNA (427 nucleotides) under uncultured bacterium. Its description in RNAcentral is "bacterial SSU rRNA". It matches the Rfam family "Bacterial small subunit ribosomal RNA", at positions 29 to 501 of the family's 1533-position model. The record is from RNAcentral.
AACGAACGCUGGCGGCAUGCCUAACACAUGCAAGUCGAACGAAGCCUCCGGGCUUAGUGGCGCACGGGUGCGUAACGCGUGGGAAUCUGCCCUUGGGUUCGGAAUAACAGUUAGAAAUGACUGCUAAUACCGAAUGAUGUCUUCGGACCAAAGAUUUAUCGCCCAAGGAUGAGCCCGCGUCGGAUUAGCUAGUUGGUGAGGUAAAGGCUCACCAAGGCGACGAUCCGUAGCUGGUCUGAGAGGAUGAUCAGCCACACUGGGACUGAGACACGGCCCAGACUCCUACGGGAGGCAGCAGUGGGGAAUAUUGGACAAUGGGCGAAAGCCUGAUCCAGCAAUGCCGCGUGAGUGAUGAAGGCCUUAGGGUUGUAAAGCUCUUUUACCCGGGAUGAUAAUGACAGUACCGGGAGAAUAAGCCCCGGCGUAA